GACGAACGCUGGCGGCGUGCCUAACACAUGCAAGUCGAGCGGAGUUUUUUGAGUUGAGACCUUCAGGUGGAUUCUUAAGAAACUUAGCGGCGGACGGGUGAGUAACGCGUGGGCAAUCUGCCUCUUACAGGGGGAUAACACAGGGAAACCUGUGCUAAUACCGCAUAAAAUCACAGUACCGCAUGGUACAAUGAUCAAAGAUUUAUCGCUUGAAGAUGGACUCGCGUCUGAUUAGCUAGUUGGUGAGGUAACGGCUCACCAAGGCGACGAUCAGUAGCCGACCUGAGAGGGUGACCGGCCACAUUGGGACUGAGACACGGGCCCAAAACUCCUACGGGAGGCAGCAGUGGGGGAAUAUUGCACAAUGGGCGGAAAGACCUGAUGCAGCGACGCCGCGUGAAGGAAGACGGUCUUCGGUUGGUAAAC
This 426-nucleotide ribosomal RNA is filed under the name uncultured bacterium. RNAcentral's name for it is "bacterial SSU rRNA". It matches the Rfam family "Bacterial small subunit ribosomal RNA", at positions 28 to 430 of the family's 1533-position model. The record is from RNAcentral.